This 5112-nucleotide long non-coding RNA is filed under the name Setaria viridis. Its description in RNAcentral is "long non-coding RNA (SVIR_LNC009827)". The record is from RNAcentral. Lineage: Eukaryota; Viridiplantae; Streptophyta; Magnoliopsida; Poales; Poaceae.
UGCAAGGAUGGAACUCCUCCUCGUCCGACCUUGAGUCCUUCGUCCUGGAGUCGGAUGCGCCUGGGACUCCGCCUCGCCCGACCUCAAGCCUGGGGUCGGAUGCGCCUGACCCCUUGAGGGUCGAUCUCCGACUCGCCCGACCCCGAGUCCUGGGGUCGGGAGACGCUCCGACUCGCCCGACCCCAAAGUCCAGGGGUCGGGAGAUGCUCCGCCUCGCUCGAUCUCGAGUCCCGGGGUCGGGAGAUUCUCCGCCUCGCCCGACCCUGAGUGUUAAGGGUCGGGAAGGUCAGCCUUUAUCCUGGAGUGAAUUUGGAACAACUCCAACAAACUCCACCUUGAGACAAAUUCAUCUUGUAUCAUCAACCCUUCAUCCUGAACAGAAUAAAGACAGGAAAAACCACUGGUGCCAACAAUAGUCUCUUGGACUAUCCAAUUAAACCAACUAAGCCUGAGCACAGCUCAAACUUAGUAACAGGAACAGGCUUUGUCAUCAUAUCAGCAGGAUUAUCAUGAGUACUGAUCUUGCAUACCUUCAGCUUACCUUCUUCAAUCACAUCACGCACAAAAUGAUACUUGAUAUCAAUGUGCUUAGUUCUUUCAUGGAACAUUUGAUCUUUAGUGAGGUAAAUUGCACUUUGACUGUCACAGUGCAAACUUAUGCAAGAUUCAACUCCACAAAGCUCGGCGUACAAACCUUUCAGCCAAAUCAAUUCUUUGCACGCUUCACAAAUCGCCAUAUAUUCUGCUUCAGUAGUAGACAAAGCAACAACCGACUGUAAAGUAGCCUUCCAACUCACAGCACAACUGCCAACAGUAAACACAUAGCCUGUGAGUGAUCUUCGCCUGUCCAGAUCAGCAGCAUAAUCUGAGUCCACAUAGCCAACAAGACCCUCAUCAGUUCUUCCAAACUUUAAACAGGAAUUUGCUGUGCCUUUGAGGUAUCUGAAAAUCCACUGAACUGCCCUCCAAUGUUCUUUGCCGGGAUUAGACAUAUAUCUACUAACAAGACUCAUAGCAUAUGACAAAUCUGGGCGAGAGCAAACCAUGGCAUACAUCAAAGACCCAACAGCACUAGAAUAAGGAACCUUUGACAUGUCUUUGACCUCUGCAUCUGUACUAGGACACUGAGCAGCAGACAACUUGAAGUGAGGUGCAAUAGGAGUACUUACAGCCUUAGCAUCUUGCAUGUUGAAACGCUGAAGAACUUUCUUGAUAUAAUUCUGUUGACUAAGAAAUAGCAAACCAGAUUUUCGGUCUCUACUAAUUUCCAUACCAGGAAUUUUCUUAGCACUACCAAGAUCUUUCAUAUCAAAACCGCUACUCAAUAGCUUCUUUAACUUAUUUAUUUCAAUCUUACUCUUGGCAGCAAUCAGCAUAUCAUCAACGUAUAUCAGCAAGUAUAUAGGUGAUCCAUUAACAUGCUUGAUAUAAACACAGCUAUCAUACUUAGAUCUUUUAAAACUGUGUGAUAACAUAAAUGAAUCAAACCUCUUGUUCCACUGUCGAGGGGACUGUUUCAAACCAUACAAGGAUCUCUUCAACUUGCACACAUAUUUCUCCUUGCCAGGCACUAUGAAACCUUCUGGUUGGUCCAUGUAUAUGUCCUCCUCGAGUUCUCCAUGCAAAAACGCAGUCUUCACAUCUAACUGCUCAAGCUCAAGAUCAUGUGAAGCAACAACACUAAGGAAAGUGCGAAUUGAACUGUGUUUUACCACUGGAGAGAAAACAUCAUUGUAGUCAACACCCGGAAUUUGGCUGUAGCCUUUAGCAACUAACCUUGCCUUAUACUUUGGAGGCUCGCUUGGAGAUAAACCCUCCUUUCUCUUGAAGAUCCAUUUGCAGCGGAUGGCCUUCUUAUUCUUAGGCAAAGGUACAAGGUCCCAUGUACUGUUCUUCUCAAGAGAUUGCAUCUCCUCAUGCAUAGCCGAAAUCCAAUUCUCAGUAUCGCCACAAUGAAUAGCUUCUUUAUAGGUUGCUGGCUCAUGAACAUUCUCCACCUGUUCAGCACAACUCAAAGCAUGGUAAGACAAAUUACACUCUUCAAUGAGACGGUUAGGAGGGGCAACUGUCCUUUUGGACUUGCGGUGAGCAAUGGGUAGUUCCUCCUCUAGAGUUUGCUGGACAUCAUCAUGAGUAUCAGCCGACCCCGAGACUGAGGGGUCUGGCGCAUCAGCAACAUCCGACCCCGCCGCCAAGGGGUCUGGCGCAGCAACAUCCGACCCCGGAGCCAAGGGGUCUGGCGCUUGAGCAUCAGCCGACCCUGGAGCCAAGGGGUCUGGCGUAUCCGACCCCGAGACCAAGGGGUCGGGGUUAUCAGCAUCAUCACGAGCGUUCUCCACCUGCAUGCGCAUGCGCUGCAGCUCUUUGUCUGGAACUUGAUCUGAUGACAAGCUGUCAGUAAACAUCACAGAUUCAUUGAAAAUAACACUUCUGCUCAUAAAGGUCUUUCCUGUUUCCGGGUUCCACAAUUUAUAGCCUUUGACACCCGAGCCAUAACCAAGGAAAAGACAUUUAACAGCUCUAGGCUCUAAUUUUCCAUUAUCAACAUGAGCAUAUGCAGUGCAUCCAAAAACUUUCAGCUGUGAGUAAUCAGCAGGCGUACUAGACCAUACCUCAAUGGGAGUUCUUUUAUUUAGUGGAAUAGAAGGCGACCUGUUGAUCAAGUAACAGGCAGUAUUAGCAGCUUCAGCCCAAAAACGCUUGCUCAUCCUGGCAUUAGACAGCAUGCAACGAGCCUUGGAUACGAUGGAUCUGUUCAUGCGUUCAGCCACACCAUUCUGUUGUGGAGUAUGGGGUAUGGUGUGAUGCCUUACAAUGCCUUCUGAUCUGCAAUAAUCAUUAAAUUCACGCGAACAAAAUUCUCCACCAUUAUCAGUACGAAGCAAUUUCACCUUCCUUUCAGUUUGUCUUUCAAUCAUGACUUUCCAGUCCUUAAAAGCAGCAAAGGUAUCAUCUUUCUGUUUCAGAAAAUAAGGCCAAACCCUUCUAGAGUAAUCAUCAAUAAUUGUGAGCAUGUAACGAGCACCACCAAGCGAGGACUUACGGGAAGGACCCCAUAAAUCAACAUGAAUAUAAUCAAGAGUACCUUUAGUGGUGUGAACAGAAGUGUUGAAACGUACCCUUUUAUGCUUCCCGAAAAUACAGUGCUCACAAAACUUCAUUUUACUCGAAGUGCAGCCAUCCAGUAGGUUUCUCCUCAUCAAUUCUGCCAUACCAUGGUGACUCAUAUGUCCCAGACGCAUAUGCCAAAGGUUAGUUUUACUAGGUUCCUCAUUAGUAACAGCAGCAACAGCGGAAUCAGAACCAGGUAAAGUACACCCUCUAAGGACAUAUAACUUUGCAGAAUUGAGAUCACCUUUCAAGCAGACAAGAUUACCUCUUGAUACCUUCAGAACACCAUCCGAACCGGAAUAUUUGUAACCUUUUGCAUCAAGCGUGCUCAAUGAGAUAAGAUUUCUGGACAUCCCUGGUAUGUACCUGACUUUUUUCAGAGUACGUGUCAUGCCAUCAUGAGUCUUGAUCUGAACUGAUCCAAUCCCCACAAUAUCACACGGGCUAUUAUCUCCCAUCCGCACAACAUCCCCUUUUUGCACAGGCUUAUACGAGCUAAACCAAUUUCUGUUAAUGCAAAUAUGAAAUGAACAUGCGGAAUCAAGGAUCCAUUCAUCAUGACCAGCAACACAACCGGCAAAUACCACCAAACUAUCUCCAGAUUCUUCAUCAGACACGGCAGCAGCAACAGAGACCUUACCAGCCGACUUAUUUUUCUUCUUCUCCUUAUUCUGUACUUUUCUGCAAUCCUCAACAUUGUGAUUUGUUAGCUUGCAAUAAACACAGAAUUUUUUGUUACCAUGCGGCUUGGACUUUGAACGGCCUCUCCUUUCAUAGUUUUUUCUUCCAUCAUCAUUGGAGGAUCUGUUAUCAGUUCUGCCUCUCACAAGCAAAGCAUCGCCCCUGGAGGACGACGUCCUGUCAUUCUGCACCAUACCUCUCAUUUUCUCCCUUGACUGGAGAGCCUCAUAAACUUCCUUUAAGGUUAGUUCAUCACGGCUCAAGAGUAUGGUGUCACGAAAAUUUGCAUACGAAGUUGGCAAAGAACAUAACAGUAAAAGACCUAAGUCCUCAUCAUCAUACUUCACCUCCAUUGAUACUAGAUCGGCGACGAUCUUCUUGAAUUCAGCGAUGUGGCUCAUCACUAAAUCUUCUUCCUUCAUCUUCAGGGUGAACAGCUUCAUCUUCAUCUGCAUCUUACUGGUUAGAUCCUUGGACAUACAGAUCGAUUCCAGUUUCAGCCAUAGUUCUGCAGCAGUUUUUUCUUUCAGACACUCCUACAAAAUAUCAUUAUGAAGAUGCAACUGUAUUAAGGUGAGCGCCUUCUGAUCCUUGCGGAUCUCUUCUGGAGUCCACUCGGCCUUUGUCUUCUUCCCGAAGCUAUCCAGCGCCUCAUCAUAAUCAUGAGUUUGCGCCAGAAUUCCCCUCAUCUUGACUUGCCAUAGCGAGAACCGCGUGUCGUAGUUCAGCAGCGGUAGAUCAAACUUCAUCGACGUUGACAUGAAAUCCAAACAGUAACCAAAGCUCUGAUACCACUUGUUAUGAACGGCGUAUGGAAUAUGAAGUAAAGAAUCAAACCGCAAAGGAGACACACGAUUUACGUGGAAAACCCCUUCAAUGUGAAGGGGAAAAACCACGGGCACCAGCCGGCAACAAUCUCACUAUCUCAAGAGUUUAGGGUUACAUGCCUAUGGCGGCUUACAAGAGAAUCUGAUAAUCUCUUCUUCUUCUGUCGUCCUAUCUCUAAAACCCUAGCAAGGGUGUAUGUAUAUAUAGUACCAUAACCCUAGACAGGGGUAUUGAGCUGUACGGACUCUUGGUCCCAUGCAAGGAUGGAACUCCUCCUCGUCCGACCUUGAGUCCUUCGUCCUGGAGUCGGAUGCGCCUGGGACUCCGCCUCGCCCGACCUCAAGCCUGGGGUCGGAUGCGCCUGACCCCUUGAGGGUCGAUCUCCGACUCGCCCGACCCCGAGUCCUGGGGUCGGGAGACGCUCCGACUCGCCCGACCCCAAAGUCCAGGGGUCGGGAGAUGCUCCGCCUCGCUCGAUCUCGAGUCCCGGGG